GGGCGCUUAGCUCAGUGGCUAGAGCACCUGGUUUACACCCAGGGGGUCGGGGGUUCGAAACCCUCAGCGCCCA
RNAcentral lists this transfer RNA (73 nucleotides) under Planctomycetota bacterium. RNAcentral's name for it is "tRNA-Val". It matches the Rfam family "tRNA". From Rfam's summary of the family: Transfer RNA (tRNA) molecules are approximately 80 nucleotides in length. Their secondary structure includes four short double-helical elements and three loops (D, anti-codon, and T loops). Further hydrogen bonds mediate the characteristic L-shaped molecular structure. tRNAs have two regions of fundamental functional importance: the anti-codon, which is responsible for specific mRNA codon recognition, and the 3' end, to which the tRNAs corresponding amino acid is attached (by aminoacyl-tRNA synthetases). tRNAs cope with the degeneracy of the genetic code in two manners: having more than one tRNA (with a specific anti-codon) for a particular amino acid; and 'wobble' base-pairing, i.e. permitting non-standard base-pairing at the 3rd anti-codon position. Lineage: Bacteria; Pseudomonadati; Planctomycetota. RNAcentral also lists the same sequence under 1 other name. The record is from RNAcentral.